UACAGAGGGGGCAAGCGUUGUUCGGAAUUACUGGGCGUAAAGGGCGCGUAGGCGGCCUUCUAAGUCGAACGUGAAAUCCCCGGGCUCAACCCGGGAACUGCGUCCGAUACUGGAAGGCUUGAAUCCGGGAGAGGGAUGCGGAAUUCCAGGUGUAGUGGUGGAAUGCGUAGAGAUCCGGAGGAACACCAGCGGCGAAGGCGGCAUCCUGGACUGGUCCUGACACUCAGGAGCGAAAGCGUGGGGAGCGAUCCGG
This 253-nucleotide ribosomal RNA is filed under the name uncultured bacterium. RNAcentral describes it as "partial 16S ribosomal RNA". It matches the Rfam family "Bacterial small subunit ribosomal RNA", at positions 524 to 776 of the family's 1533-position model. The record is from RNAcentral.